RNAcentral lists this ribosomal RNA (760 nucleotides) under uncultured bacterium. RNAcentral's name for it is "bacterial SSU rRNA". It matches the Rfam family "Bacterial small subunit ribosomal RNA", at positions 28 to 776 of the family's 1533-position model. The record is from RNAcentral.
AUUGAACGCUGGCGGCAGGCUUAACACAUGCAAGUCGAACGGUAACAGGAGAAAAGCUUGCUUUUCUUGCUGACGAGUGGCGGACGGGUGAGUAAUGCUUGGGAAUCUGCCUUAUGGAGGGGGAUAAUACGGGAAACUGUAGCUAAUACCGCGUAAUGUCUACGGACUAAAGUAUGGGAUCUUUGGACCAUAUGCCAUAAGAUGAGCCCAAGUGAGAUUAGGUAGUUGGUGAGGUAAAGGCUCACCAAGCUGACGAUCUCUAGCUGGUUUGAGAGGAUGACCAGCCACACUGGAACUGAGACACGGUCCAGACUCCUACGGGAGGCAGCAGUGGGGAAUAUUGCACAAUGGGCGCAAGCCUGAUGCAGCCAUGCCGCGUGAAUGAAGAAGGCUUUCGGGUUGUAAAGUUCUUUCAGCGAUGAGGAAGGUGCUAUAUCUAAUAGGUGUAGCAUUUGACGUUAGUCGCAGAAGAAGCACCGGCUAACUCCGUGCCAGCAGCCGCGGUAAUACGGAGGGUGCGAGCGUUAAUCGGAAUAACUGGGCGUAAAGGGCACGCAGGCGGUUGUCUAAGUCAGAUGUGAAAGCCCCGAGCUUAACUUGGGAAUUGCAUUUGAGACUGGGCGACUAGAGUCCUCUAGGGAGGGGUAGAAUUCCACGUGUAGCGGUGAAAUGCGUAGAGAUGUGGAGGAAUACCGAAGGCGAAGGCAGCCCCUUGGAGAGAGACUGACGCUGAGGUGCGAAAGCGUGGGUAGCAAACAGG